Molecule: ribosomal RNA, 460 nt
Filed under: uncultured bacterium
Lineage: Bacteria
Description: partial 16S ribosomal RNA
Rfam family: Bacterial small subunit ribosomal RNA
Source: RNAcentral
CCUACGGGUGGCAGCAGUGAGGAAUAUUGGUCAAUGGCCGGAAGGCUGAACCAGCCAUGCAGCGUGAAGGUCAGUGCCCUAUGGGCGUUAAACUUCUUUUGUGCGGGAGCAAUAAUGGUCACGUGUGGCCAGACGAGAGUACCGUACGAAUAAGCAUCGGCUAAUUCCGUGCCAGCAGCCGCGGUAAUACGGGGGAUGCAAGCGUUAUCCGGAUUUAUUGGGUUUAAAGGGUGCGUAGGCUGGGAGGUAAGUCAGAGGUUAAAUGCCCCCGAUCAACGGGGUGAAGUGCCAUUGAUACUGACAGUCUGGAAUGCGGAUGCGGUGGGAGGAAUGUGUGGUGUAGCGGUGAAAUGCAUAGAUAUCACACAGAACCCCGAUUGCGAAGGCAGCUCACGAAUCCGCGAUUGACGCUGAUGCACGAAAGCGUGGGUAUCAAACAGGAUUAGAUACCCGGGUAGUC